Long non-coding RNA from Orcinus orca (killer whale), 1891 nucleotides. RefSeq lists it as uncharacterized. The transcript has 3 exons. The record is from RefSeq and is a predicted model, not a curated record. NCBI's taxonomy places the organism in Eukaryota, Metazoa, Chordata, Mammalia, Artiodactyla, Delphinidae.
ACACCAAGGGCCCUUCAAAACAUAGGACCUUCCUGCUCACAGCAUAAAGCCCAGUUCCCUCUGGUCUCUGCAGUUUGACUCAUCACCAGGGAACCUAUGCCUCCUACAAGAUGAAGGCACCACUCCAGUAACAGCUCCAGGGACUGAGCCAAGGUGCCUGUGAGCUCCUAUAUGAGAGGCUCUGGAAAGCUCACCAAACACUUUCCUGACAACUUUGCCAGGGCCAUAUCUCCCAGGAAGAUCUUGCCUCCCCACUGAAGCCCCUGGCCCAGCCUCCUGCAGUGCCACGCUCCGUGUAUUUGACAAGCUGAGUUAGACACUCCAUGUAGUAGAGUGUCAGUUUGUCAAAUACCCCAAGUGCGGCAUAUGCCUAGCAGCUCCAGGCCAGGACAGUUGAAAUACAUCUGAUAGACUGACAGCUGGAUGCAAGAACACACACCAAAUACCAACUAAGCUCUCAGAAGUUAUUUUCGGUGACUUUGAGGGAAUUAAAGCAUUGUACCUGAGGGUGUUGGGGGGCGGGGAAAUGAAGCAGCUCUGCUUAUACACAGUGGGAGCCCUAGGUGGAUACAAUAGUCUUGAAAAGGCAUAUGGGCCCCAGGGAUGGCAGUACUCCUUUAUUCAUUACUUUCUUCCUUCACAUUCCCCUCCCAGAGUCCCCUAAAAAGGACAUCUGAAUUCUCACACAAGCAUCAUCACAGGGCUUAGACACCCAAUUUCUGGACACUUAACCUUGGCUUCUAAACACACUUUGACCUUACCUAUCUCUCUCCUUUUCUUCAUGCUUUUUCUCCUCCUGGGAACACCUUCUUCAUUUCUCUCUUCUUAUCCAAUUCUUUCCCAUACUUCUUGGCCAAGCCAAAGUCCAGUCUCUCCAAGGACUUUUGAAAGUCAACCUAUACUCUUUCCUUCUUCAUUCUCAAAGCACUCCUUGCCUGGAUGCUUGUAUGUACCCUUUUAUCUCCUACUGCCAAAUGGUACACCUUGAAUUGUUAGUGGACUUUUGCAGGGGAUAUUUUUGAAUUCCCCACUAGAUUGUGAGCUCCUAGAGAACAAUACUCUUUCCUUAAUUGCUGUCUCCCCAUUCCAUCCCUACUCCAGCCCCAGAACAGUACUCAGGUAACAGAAAAUACUUAAUAACUGUUUAUUGGUUGAUAGACUUUCCACUAGUCUAUUAGUUUUGGGCCUUUGGGCCAAAUGCUACCCAGGAAUUUUGUAAGAAAACAAUUAAACUUUGGUCGCUGCAGUGCUAUAGUGUGUGUGAGGCAAUUGCCAACAUGGAGGGUUUUUCUUCCUGAGAAAUAGGGUCAAGAGUCAGAGAAGGAAGGCAAAAAUGUAGACUCAGAGGGCAAGUAAGUUUUGGAAUUACUUGGUAACAAAAAGUUAUACAGAUGCUUUAUUGCAGGAUUUUUCAGAGACUUUAAUAUUGUAAUGUUCCAUUGGAAAUCUCCAAGAGAGGGCCAUAGAAUGAAGCAGUUCCCAUGCUUAUCUGAUCAUGGAAAUGUUUUUCUGUGGGCCAUUUCCUGGAUCGAGUGUUCCAUGGAACAAAAUUUGAGAAAUUGCCUUAGAGGAACUUCAUAUCUUUCCUCUCUUCUGGAGAUCUUGUCUUUUUACUCUUCUACUUUUCUCCACCCAGCUACCUGCCUAAGACAGGUCCUGUUUCAUUAUACCAUUUUUGUUUAGCCUAUCCUGCAUAUUUGGGCUAGCCUUAUACUUAGGACUUUCUCACUGGCUUGUCUUGCAUGAAAAAGAUUAUCAGGUUUUAGGCAGAGAUGAUCUCUAGAAGUUUCCUGCUGCAAUAAAUAUGUGCUCCUAGGUCUGUAAUUUUAUCUUGUUUUAUCUUGUUAUCUUGUGGCAUUUAAUAAACUUGCAGUAUCAGUGUCAACCUGCA